UGGGAAGUAUUGCACAAUGGGCGGCAAGCCAUGACUGCAGCCAUGCCGCGCUGUAUGAAGAAGGCCAAUUCGGGGCUUUGGUUAAAGAUACUUUCAGCGAGGAGGAAGGCGUUGUGGUUAAUAACCGCAGCGAUUGACGUUACUCGCAGAAGAAGCACCGGCUAACUCCGUGCCAGCAGCCGCGGUAAUACGGAGGGUGCAAGCGUUAAUCGGAAUUACUGGGCGUAAAGCGCACGCAGGCGGUCUGUCAAGUCGGAUGUGAAAUCCCCGGGCUCAACCUGGGAACUGCAUCCGAAACUGGCAGGCUAGAGUCUUGUAGA
This 320-nucleotide ribosomal RNA is filed under the name uncultured Enterobacteriaceae bacterium. RNAcentral describes it as "bacterial SSU rRNA". It matches the Rfam family "Bacterial small subunit ribosomal RNA", at positions 355 to 655 of the family's 1533-position model. The record is from RNAcentral. Lineage: Bacteria; Pseudomonadati; Pseudomonadota; Gammaproteobacteria; Enterobacterales; Enterobacteriaceae.